Molecule: ribosomal RNA, 457 nt
Filed under: uncultured bacterium
Lineage: Bacteria
Description: bacterial SSU rRNA
Rfam family: Bacterial small subunit ribosomal RNA
Source: RNAcentral
AAUGAACGUUGGCGGCACGCCUAACACAUGCAAGUCGAGCGAAGAACUAGUUUACUAGUUACUGAGCGGCGAACGGGUGAGUAAUACUUGGAUAAUCUGCCACUAGGAUUGGGAUAACCUCAGGAAACUGAGACUAAUACCAAAUAUGACCACAGUCUUUACGGAGACAGGGGUAAAAUGUUUUUCGCCUAGUGAUGAGUCCAAGUCGCAUCAGGUUGUUGGUAAGGUAAUGGCUUACCAAGCCUAUGACGCGUAGCAGGUCUUAGCGGAUGAUCUGCCACAUGGGGACUGAGAUACGGCCCUGACUCCUACGGGAGGCAGCAGUGAGGAAUAUUGGACAAUGGACGAAAGUCUGAUCCAGCGAUGCCGCGUGAAGGAUGAAGGCCUUAGGGUUGUAAACUUCUGUCAGCAGGGAAGAUAAUGACGGUACCUGCAGAGGAAGCCCCGGCUAACUCCG